RNAcentral lists this small RNA (27 nucleotides) under Bombyx mori (domestic silkworm). RNAcentral describes it as "ovarian small RNA-34184". Lineage: Eukaryota; Metazoa; Arthropoda; Insecta; Lepidoptera; Bombycidae. The record is from RNAcentral.
UGCUCGUCUGGACUAGGCGAAGAGAAA